AACGAACGCUGGCGGCAUGCCUAACACAUGCAAGUCGAACGAUCCCUUCGGGGAUAGUGGCGCACGGGCGCGUAACGCGUGGGAACCUGCCCUUAGGUUCGGAAUAACUCAGAGAAAUUUGAGCUAAUACCGGAUAAUGUCUUCGGACCAAAGAUUUAUCGCCUUUGGAUGGGCCCGCGUUGGAUUAGCUAGUUGGUGGGGUAAAGGCCUACCAAGGCGACGAUCCAUAGCUGGUCUGAGAGGAUGAUCAGCCACACUGGGACUGAGGCACGGCCCAGACUCCUACGGGAGGCAGCAGUGGGGAAUAUUGGACAAUGGGCGAAAGCCUGAUCCAGCAAUGCCGCGUGAGUGAUGAAGGCCUUAGGGUUGUAAAGCUCUUUUACCCGGGAUGAUAAUGACAGUACCGGGAGAAUAGGCCCCGGCUAACUCCGUG
Molecule: ribosomal RNA, 433 nt
Filed under: uncultured bacterium
Lineage: Bacteria
Description: partial 16S ribosomal RNA
Rfam family: Bacterial small subunit ribosomal RNA
Source: RNAcentral